RNAcentral lists this ribosomal RNA (762 nucleotides) under Lactarius pubescens. Its description in RNAcentral is "LSU rRNA". It matches the Rfam family "Eukaryotic large subunit ribosomal RNA", at positions 45 to 785 of the family's 3401-position model. The record is from RNAcentral. Lineage: Eukaryota; Fungi; Basidiomycota; Agaricomycetes; Russulales; Russulaceae.
AAUAAGCGGAGGAAAAGAAACUAACAAGGAUUCCCCUAGUAACUGCGAGUGAAGCGGGAAAAGCUCAAAUUUAAAAUCUGGCGGUCUUUGGCCGUCCGAGUUGUAAUUUAGAGAAGCGUCUUCCGCGCCGGACCGUGCACAAGUCUCCUGGAAUGGAGCGUCAUAGAGGGUGAGAAUCCCGUCUUUGGCACGGAUGCCUGGUGCUCUGUGAUGCGCUCUCGAAGAGUCGAGUUGUUUGGGAAUGCAGCUCAAAAUGGGUGGUGAACUCCAUCUAAAGCUAAAUAUUGGCGAGAGACCGAUAGCGAACAAGUACCGUGAGGGAAAGAUGAAAAGCACUUUGGAAAGAGAGUGAAACAGUACGUGAAAUUGUUGAAAGGGAAACGCUUGAAGUCAGUCGCGUCGACCGAGACUCAGCCUUGCCUCGGCUUGGUGUACUUCUCGGCCCGACGGGUCAGCGUCAAUUUUGCCCCUCGGAUAAUGGCAAGGGAAAGGUGGCACCUUUACGGGUGUGUUAUAGUCUCCUGUCGCAUGCGAGGGGUGGGAUUGAGGAACUCAGCGCGCACCUUUGGUGUCGGGGCUUCGGCCCACGUCACGCGCUUAGGAUGCUGGCGUAAUGGCUUUAAACGACCCGUCUUGAAACACGGACCAAGGAGUCCAACACGCCCGCGAGUGUUCGGGUGGAAAACCCGUGCGCGUAAUUAAAGUGAAAGUUGGGACCUCUGUCGUGGAGGGCACCGACGCCCGGACCAGACCUUCUGUGAC